GCCUGGCCCUAAAUCUUGAUGCUCGAUCUUACCGGAGCAUCCGCCCGAGAACUACGAGCACCAACGCUUAAAACUCUAAGGACUUGGCGGUGCCCCAAACCCACCUAGAGGAGCCUGUUCUGUAAUCGAUGAUCCACGAUAUACCUGACCAUUCCUUGCCAAGUCAGCCUAUAUACCGCCGUCGCCAGCCCACCCAGCAUGAAGGACCAACAGUGGACGCAAUAGCCUAACCCGCUAGUACGACAGGUCAAGGUAUAGCCUAUGGAAUGGAGGCAAUGGGCUACAUUUUCUAAAUUAGAACAUACGGCAAAGGGAUAUGAAACUGUCCCUGGAAGGAGGAUUUAGCAGUAAAGUGGGACAAUCGAGCCCUCUUUAAGCCGGCCCUGGAGCACGU
This 394-nucleotide ribosomal RNA is filed under the name Phylloscopus coronatus. RNAcentral's name for it is "partial 12S ribosomal RNA". It matches the Rfam family "Bacterial small subunit ribosomal RNA", at positions 794 to 1384 of the family's 1533-position model. The record is from RNAcentral. Lineage: Eukaryota; Metazoa; Chordata; Aves; Passeriformes; Phylloscopidae.